This 251-nucleotide long non-coding RNA is filed under the name Lathyrus oleraceus (garden pea). RNAcentral's name for it is "Pisum sativum (pea) long non-coding RNA (PSAT_LNC017499)". The record is from RNAcentral. Lineage: Eukaryota; Viridiplantae; Streptophyta; Magnoliopsida; Fabales; Fabaceae.
GAAAACCCUAAGUAUCAAAUUUCAAGAGCUCUAGUGAGGAUUUUGGAGUUGCAACAACAACUUUAGGGUUGAUAUUUUUUUCGUCUUUUUUCUGAAUUAGUAUUAGGUUUUUGUAGAUUAACAAUUAGGUUUAGAAUUAAAUUGAUUCAUGUAUUUGAGGAAGACUUUUGUGUGAUUAUUAUUGUAAAUCUAUAAGGAUUUUAGGGUUUCUAAUUUUGUAAAUAUAACAAUCUGUAUUUGGUCCAAUUUCU